This 105-nucleotide transfer RNA is filed under the name Candidatus Thorarchaeota archaeon. RNAcentral's name for it is "tRNA-OTHER". It matches the Rfam family "tRNA". Rfam says of the family: Transfer RNA (tRNA) molecules are approximately 80 nucleotides in length. Their secondary structure includes four short double-helical elements and three loops (D, anti-codon, and T loops). The record is from RNAcentral. Lineage: Archaea; Promethearchaeati; Candidatus Thorarchaeota.
GCCGCCGUGGCUCAGUAGGUAGAGCGACAGUGAACGCAACUCGCGUUUUGCCGCUAAAGCCUGUUAAGUUGUUGGUCGUAGGUUCGAGCCCUACCGGCGGCGCCA